GACGAACGCUGGCGGCGUGCUUAACACAUGCAAGUCGAGCGGUAAGGCCCUUUCGGGGGUACACGAGCGGCGAACGGGUGAGUAACACGUGGGUGACCUGCCCUCAGCUCUGGGAUAAGCCUGGGAAACUGGGUCUAAUACUGGAUAUGACUCCACGGUGCAUGUCGUGGGGUGGAAAGCCUUGUGCGGCUGAGGAUGGGCCCGCGGCCUAUCAGCUUGUUGGUGGGGUGACGGCCUACCAAGGCGACGACGGGUAGCCGGCCUGAGAGGGCGACCGGCCACACUGGGACUGAGACACGGCCCAGACUCCUACGGGAGGCAGCAGUGGGGAAUAUUGCACAAUGGGCGAAAGCCUGAUGCAGCGACGCCGCGUGAGGGAUGACGGCCU
This 388-nucleotide ribosomal RNA is filed under the name uncultured bacterium. RNAcentral describes it as "bacterial SSU rRNA". It matches the Rfam family "Bacterial small subunit ribosomal RNA", at positions 28 to 417 of the family's 1533-position model. The record is from RNAcentral.